GAAAACAACGAAACAAUAAAGGGACAUACAGAAAUGAUUUGCAAAUAAGAUAAAUGAUUAUGGGGCAUGUGAGGAUGACUAUGGUGACUUCUAACACAACCCAAGACUUCUUCCCUUGGGAAGGCUGAGGGCGGAGGUGGGCCUCGGUUGAGCACCUUCCAGGACCCAACCCACUGUGUGUGACCUCCUCUAACCCUGAUCCCCUGGGAGUAGAGGUGACGAUUACUUGUGGUUUGCAGGACAGGAAACUGAGCCUCAGACAAGUUAGGUCACAUGCCUGAAUUCCCCACGGCUACUAGGUGGAGGAGCAGAGAUUCAAACCCACAUUGGCCUCACAGUGCACACUCUUUCCACUAAUCUCCACAGUCACGUGACUGGCUAAAUGAUGGAAGAGAACAGAAAUCAAUUUAAAAUAUGUCAGUUUUGGGUAAUAACCAAUUAGAGUGUGGGAGAUCCACCCUUGGAGAGCUUUCUGGAAGUAGACUGCAGAAGCAACACUUCCUCUGAGAGCUCUGUUGACGGAGGGAGCUCUCACCCUCAAUUCAGCCCUGAUUUUUAAAAAGCUCGCAUGUGUCUCUCACAGGUUCUCGUUUACUGCAAUGUCCUUAAGCAAGAUCAACCUCAGGAUUCAGGGAGAGCCUAGUGUGAAAUACCACAGGUGCUCCAUCAUGCGGUGACUCAGUAAAUGGGAGAGCGCGUGCUCUCACCCUGGAAUCCACCUGCUCCCCCUUCCAAAGAUUUGAUCUGUAAAUCAGAGAUUGGGAGCCCAGGAGCAAAACUGUAAGAAAGGAUUGCUGUUGUGAAUUGUUUGUAAAUUGCUAUUUCUGUGUUAAUUUGUAGACUAAAAAUGUCGUCAGACCCCAUAGACUACUUGAGGAGUAUUCCUACCCACAGAGAGAGAGAAAAUGGGGCUGCAGGUGGGAGCUGUUUCCUCUCUCCUGCUCUAUUUUAUUUUCCAUCACCUUUUCUCCUUUCCCCAUGGAGAACAGGGACACAUGGAGAAUUAAUCCGAAAGACUAACGUGUUAUCUUCACCAGGUGGAAAUUUGCCGAAAGCAUGGGGUGAACUGAAGUCAAUUCUGAAUGAGAAUGUCAUGUUUAAGAGCUUUUAAGGUUCUGAUAACACUAUAUAAAAUUUCUCCAUUGAACUAUCAAGUUCUAGAAGUAAGAAAUGAGUCAAAAUGCAACUCUUCAUUAUUGUGGAUCCCAGGAUGUCUACACUUUGGGCUCUCAAGCCUUCCAGAGGCCCUGACUCAUUGGUCAGAGGCCUGGCUUGGGGGUCACAUCUGAUUUCCAGGCUUGAUGCGACAUGACGUGAGACAAUUCACUUAGCUUCUCUGUGCCUUAGUUCCAGCUCUAAAAUCUGGAAAUUCCAUAACUCAGCCUACCUGGCUCAAAUUCUUUAAAUAUGGCCUUCUGUAUAAAACAUGGACACUUGUAGUUAAAUAUCUUAUUAAUUACCUGUUGAAUGAAUGAAUGAAGGAAUGCCCGUCAGAGCUCUGAAGCCAUUUUCUUGAAAACUUUGAAAGAACAAUCAAAGGCAAAGUUCAGCAACGAAAAACUGGAGACUUUGAUUUCCUGUCACCGAACAAGUUGAAAAAUCUUAGUAAGAGACACUUGAACCUUUUAAGUAUCAUCUUGCGGUAAUAAUGACCUCUCAUGCAUAUUUAUGCACUUAGCUUUAUAAUAACCACUUGAAAGACUAGCUUUUUUUUUCCCCCUGGGAAUGAAGCUAUGUGAAGUGUGACAAAAUAUUCCAAGUUCAAAGGUCCAAAUAUGUAAAAUACAAAAAUGUUGGAAUUUCUUCCACAAGUAGAAGGCAUCUUGGUGUUUAUUGACUCAGGGAACAUUGGCACACUCAGCCUGUCCUUGAAAGUCAUGAAAUUCUUGCCUGCCUUCAACUCAGCAUUCCUCCUGAGGAACACAGGUCAUCCUUGCUGAAGUGCGCAUGGUUUGGUCUGGGUCAAGACAGGUAAUAUUUGGUGAUGGAGAAAACUGGUUGGCUGUUGGGUAUUUCACAAAAAAUCCCAAACAGACUCCACAGCCAGAGCUGCCUUGCAAAACCUUUUUGUUGCUGUUACUCAACGUCAUUCAUUACUCUCUCAAAGUAAAAUCAUAUGACCCCCACUUCCUCGCUAUUGCUAAGUGGUUGAGUGACUGUUCAAUAUGAAGACUGCUUAUGCUUGAGGGGCUGCACCGGAUGGAAGUCUAGAACUUUGAGUGGUGACCUGAGAUGCUGAGCAGGCAUCCCGGCUGCUCCCAUCCUGGCUGAUCCUAGGCCUCCUUGGUCCAGGCACACCUCCUUCCCACCACUGGUGAGUCUGCUCUCCCCUCUCUGAGCCUGGCUCCUGACCUUCCCCUUGUGUCAUGGUGACUUCCUCCCCCAUCCACCCACCCAAGGCCCUCAUUUCCUUUGACCUUCAACUCCUUCAAGAAGCAUUUCCUGAAUCUCUGGGGCCCACACUGGUGACGGCCCAGCUCCCAGUUCCUCCUCACUUAGGGAGACUUGCCCUGCCAUCCUUACCAGCUCGUAUUUGCUUUGAAAGCAGGACUCAUGUGUCCUACUGGAGGGGGUCCUUCUGCAGGUCCUGCUGCAACAUCCUGUGACCCCAGAAGGGGAAUGAGGAGCCCAAGGCAUCAUUCUCCCUCUGGGCUUCACUGCCACCAAACUGGAAGCCCCUGGGCCAGUCCUCUGUGGAUCCACUUCCAUUUCCUUCCUUGUUGGAACCAUGUCCUCCUUGUUGCCUCUUCCAAGCUCAGGCUUCAGUCCUUCCUGCCCGGCUGGAUCCCGUCCCAAGGGCCCUGCAAUGAAAUCUAUUUUUAAC
Molecule: long non-coding RNA, 2824 nt
Organism: Equus asinus (donkey)
Lineage: Eukaryota; Metazoa; Chordata; Mammalia; Perissodactyla; Equidae
Source: Ensembl